RNAcentral lists this ribosomal RNA (888 nucleotides) under Burkholderia cenocepacia. RNAcentral's name for it is "bacterial LSU rRNA". It matches the Rfam family "Bacterial large subunit ribosomal RNA", at positions 2049 to 2925 of the family's 2925-position model. Lineage: Bacteria; Pseudomonadati; Pseudomonadota; Betaproteobacteria; Burkholderiales; Burkholderiaceae. The record is from RNAcentral.
GUUUGUGAUGAUGCAAUCUACCCGCGGCUAGACGGAAAGACCCCAUGAACCUUUACUGUAGCUUUGCAUUGGACUUUGAACCGAUCUGUGUAGGAUAGGUGGGAGGCUAUGAAACCGGAACGCUAGUUUCGGUGGAGCCGUCCUUGAAAUACCACCCUGGUUUGUUUGAGGUUCUAACCUUGGCCCGUGAUCCGGGUCGGGGACAGUGCAUGGUAGGCAGUUUGACUGGGGCGGUCUCCUCCCAAAGCGUAACGGAGGAGUACGAAGGUACGCUAGGUACGGUCGGAAAUCGUGCUGAUAGUGCAAUGGCAUAAGCGUGCUUAACUGCGAGACCGACAAGUCGAGCAGGUGCGAAAGCAGGUCAUAGUGAUCCGGUGGUUCUGUAUGGAAGGGCCAUCGCUCAACGGAUAAAAGGUACUCUGGGGAUAACAGGCUGAUACCGCCCAAGAGUUCAUAUCGACGGCGGUGUUUGGCACCUCGAUGUCGGCUCAUCUCAUCCUGGGGCUGUAGCCGGUCCCAAGGGUAUGGCUGUUCGCCAUUUAAAGAGGUACGUGAGCUGGGUUUAAAACGUCGUGAGACAGUUUGGUCCCUAUCUGCCGUGGGCGUUGGAUAUUUGAAGGGGGCUGCUCCUAGUACGAGAGGACCGGAGUGGACGAACCUCUGGUGUACCGGUUGUCACGCCAGUGGCAUCGCCGGGUAGCUAUGUUCGGAAGAGAUAACCGCUGAAAGCAUCUAAGCGGGAAACUCGCCUUAAGAUGAGAUAUCCCUGGGGACUAGAUCCCCUUGAAGGGUCGUUCGAGACCAGGACGUUGAUAGGUCAGGUGUGUAAGCGCAGUAAUGCGUUCAGCUAACUGAUACUAAUUGCCCGUAAGGCUUGAUCCUAUAACA